CACUUUGUCUAUAUGGCAAAUGUGAGAUGCAGUGUAUGGUACAUCAAUAUUCUAGUAUGAGAAAUUAACGAUUUAAGUCCUUCUUAAAUGAGGCCAUUUACCCAUAGAGGGUGCCAGGCCCGUAUAACGUUAAUGAUUACUAGAUGGUGUUUCCAAAGAGUCGUGUUGCUUGAUAGUGCAGCACUAAGUGGGUGGUAAACUCCAUCUAAAACUAAAUAUAACCAUGAGACCGAUAGUAAACAAGUACCGUGAGGGAAAGUUGAAAAGAACUCUGAAUAGAGAGUUAAAUAGUACGUGAAACUGCUUAGAGGUUAAGCCCGAUGAACCUGAAUAUCCGUUAUGGAAAAUUCAUCAUUAGAAUUGUAGUAUUUCAAUAAUAUUAUAAUAAUAGUGUGCAUUUUUUCCAUAUAAGGACAUUGUAAUCUAUUAACAUAAUAAAUUUAUCAAAAAGUUUUGAAUUAUUGCUUAUUUGAAUUAUAGUGCUUGCAUUAUAACAUAAAAUAAAUUGUCAUAAAUUUGAUAAAGUGUUGAUAGAUUUAUAUGAAUACUGUGCGUUAAUUUUUCGGAAUUAUAUAAUGGCAUAAUUAUCAUUGAU
Molecule: ribosomal RNA, 595 nt
Filed under: Scaptomyza consimilis
Lineage: Eukaryota; Metazoa; Arthropoda; Insecta; Diptera; Drosophilidae
Description: eukaryotic LSU rRNA
Rfam family: Eukaryotic large subunit ribosomal RNA
Source: RNAcentral